RNAcentral lists this transfer RNA (78 nucleotides) under Candidatus Omnitrophota bacterium. Its description in RNAcentral is "Candidatus Omnitrophica bacterium tRNA-Glu". It matches the Rfam family "tRNA". From Rfam's summary of the family: Transfer RNA (tRNA) molecules are approximately 80 nucleotides in length. Their secondary structure includes four short double-helical elements and three loops (D, anti-codon, and T loops). Further hydrogen bonds mediate the characteristic L-shaped molecular structure. tRNAs have two regions of fundamental functional importance: the anti-codon, which is responsible for specific mRNA codon recognition, and the 3' end, to which the tRNAs corresponding amino acid is attached (by aminoacyl-tRNA synthetases). tRNAs cope with the degeneracy of the genetic code in two manners: having more than one tRNA (with a specific anti-codon) for a particular amino acid; and 'wobble' base-pairing, i.e. permitting non-standard base-pairing at the 3rd anti-codon position. Lineage: Bacteria; Pseudomonadati; Candidatus Omnitrophota. The record is from RNAcentral.
GGCGCUAUCGUCUAGCCUGAUUCAGGACGCCGCCCUCUCAAGGCGGAAACACGGGUUUAAAUCCCGUUAGCGCUACCA